Molecule: ribosomal RNA, 253 nt
Filed under: uncultured bacterium
Lineage: Bacteria
Description: partial 16S ribosomal RNA
Rfam family: Bacterial small subunit ribosomal RNA
Source: RNAcentral
UACGUAGGGUGCGAGCGUUGUCCGGAAUUACUGGGCGUAAAGAGCUCGUAGGUGGUUUGUCGCGUUGUUCGUGAAAACUCACAGCUUAACUGUGGGCGUGCGGGCGAUACGGGCAGACUGGAGUACUGCAGGGGAGACUGGAAUUCCUGGUGUAGCGGUGGAAUGCGCAGAUAUCAGGAGGAACACCGGUGGCGAAGGCGGGUCUCUGGGCCGAUACUGACGUUGAGGAGCGAAAGCGUGGGGAGCGAACAGG